Long non-coding RNA from Gopherus agassizii (Agassiz's desert tortoise), 3524 nucleotides. NCBI's taxonomy places the organism in Eukaryota, Metazoa, Chordata, Testudines, Testudinidae. The record is from Ensembl.
CGGGACUGUGCUGCCUUCUGCGGGGAUAUGGCGGGGCAGGUCUCCCCCAGGGGCCUCACCCGCUCCGUGGCUCAUAGACUAAAAUAUUACAUUGACGUUCAAAGAAAAGAAGAUAGUUUUGAUUUAUCAGGAACUAGCAGGAAUGAGGCUGAAAGUUGCAGUUUCUAUAUACAUCCUGGAAGCUUUGCUGAACAAAAAUAUGAUCAGUGUCUCAAGCAUAAUUUUACAGAUUGUAAAUUCGAAGCAUCUCUUCGAAUGUAUACAGGAAAUUCUGAAGAAUGUGAAAGAAAAUUACAGAGCAGCCCAGAAAGACAACAGGAAAUUAAGAUAAUCAAAAAGAAAAUGGCACAAGAUGUUGUAACUGACAGACCUUUCCUGGUCUUAGUAAGGAGUACAAAAAGAACAAAGAAGUUGCACAGCUUCCCUUCCAGACUAUCUCAAUUUCCUCCUUCCCCAUACACAUCACAAGAAGAAGUCAUGAGGCUCAUUUCAUCAGCUUCAAAGCUAAUUGUUGCGGCGACUUGUGAAAUCUCUUCGGAGGAAAUAAAGAAGCCAGACUGUGCCUCACCCCAAAAGAGGAAAGAAGCUAAAAAUAUUCAGAGAUUGGACCAUUACUACAAGCAGUGUGCACCUCAUCCUGUGAUCUCUCCAGAUCCCCAUGAAUAUGAAGCUAAGAGUACACGGGAAACGAACAAAUUAGAAGAAUCAAAUGCUGACUUUAUCCAAGAAAAUUCAAGGAAUGAUUAUGGGAAAAAUGUGAACAAAGACAAGAAAGAAGAAAACAGUAGAAAUGUAAAUGGACUGGUCAGAGUUGAGAGAUCAUCUAAUAUUUCCAGUAACAAAUCUAAACAUAAGAGUGUACUUUCUAAAACUUCUACAAGAGCAAGUGAUUUAAAUUCAUUGUACUUAAGUAACAUAUCUCCUUAUGCACAACGAACUGACAGAAGUAAAGCUUCUAAAAAAAAUGUGCUUAAUGAAGGAGCGUCCUCUGCCUUGUGCAGCUCUUCAGUGAUGUCUGAAUGCCAAGAUACAGAGCCAAGUACUGGCCGUAUAUCAGGCAUGACAAGCUUUGCUCACUCUCAGAAAACUAAAAGCAUCUCUAGGUGGCUCUGUAAGUCAUCUGAAUUCAAAAGGCAAAAGUCAGCCCAGGUGCCUAGUAGAAAGCAUUCAGGCAUCAGAGGUAGUAAGUCUAGCAAGCUUUCACAGGGAAGGCCAAUGGAGAACUCCCGGAAUAUGCCACUACAUCAAAAAAAAAGAAAAAAUAGUGAAGGAAACAGGGAAUUAAAUGUUUCCACAAAUGCACAGACCGUAAUCAUAAAUGAAAACACGGGAGAACAAACAGCUUCUGUUGUGGCUCUUAAAUGUGGCAUUCACCACAGCCAAAAUAACACAAGUAACAGCCUUCAUCAGAGACCUCAAAGUAACCAGCACGAAAAAAAGAAGAAAGAUUUGUGUGAAUUAGCUACAGGAAAAAAUACCGAAUCCCAUAAGGUCCAUUUCCAAGGUCCAUUGCAGUUUUCCAGAAAUACUGAACAGAAAUGUAGCUGUGUAAACUUGAAUAGUUGUAACAUAACAAGCGACUAUGGAAUUCAAACCAUUGCUUCAGAAAGUAAAUCUUUAGGGACUGUGACACAUCUUCCAGAGAAUGAAAAUGAAGAACACCUUUCUAGGGUCACACUUGGAGCACCUUCCUUUUUACAUCAAGUUUUCCUGGAAAUGGAGCAAGAUGCAUCACCUACUUCAACUGCAUCUGAGCCUAAAGAUCUGGACAGCAGUUUAGAAAAUAAAAGUAUACAACAAUUAUCUAACCAGCUUUUCAUCCUUAAUGAAUCCACAGGAGACAAGAAGGUUCAGGAUACUAUCAGUAAUGUACAUACAAGUGACAGUAUUUUAACAGACCCAUGUGAUUGGCAAAUGGCACACAUCCCACAGAAGGUUCAGUGUUGUUGCACCUGUGCAGAAGAACCACCUAACUUUAUAUCUGAAACAUCUGAUGAAGAACAAGACAGUUUCUCAGAUUCAUCUGUGACAGUAACAAGUUUUUUAGGUGCAUUAGAAAACCAACAGUCAGAAGAGGAGUUCACUGUAUCAUCUGUAUCUGAUAGCCUGAGUCUUGGAUCAUUAUACGACGUACAUGAACAGAUGGAAAAAAACAAUUGUGUUGACCUAAAAGAGGAGGAAAACUCAGACUCCAGCACAGGCCAUCUUGAUCAAAGAGUUCUAGAGGAAAUGCAGAAGAUUAGCACCUCUGAGAGGCUCUCUCAGACAGACUCCAUCCAUUUCAGUUCUACAGAUGAAGAAGGGAGAGCAAAUGUGGAUCGUGCACUUAAGAGUGUCAGUACCAGUCAAGUACUGUAUUUCUGUCAUUUUCCACGUUACGUUAGUACAUAACUUAUCAGAACAGAUGUCAAAGCUGUUGCUCGUUGUCAAUACAGUUAGCUCUAGACAACAAGGCUUCAGCAGUGCAGAUGGACUUCCCUGUAGAUGCUACUGAUGCCUGUGGAAGCCAGCCCAAUGGAAGUGACAAUAACAUCAUGUUGCCUUAAGUGUGACCCAGAUUUUUAAACUUGUUAGUACUAAAAGCCAACCAUUUAGUAAAAGUGUGUAUCCUAAGUGAGAUUCACUGAACACAAGAGUAAUCCAGAUCCAAUUAGGCCUUGGCCCUGAAGUCUGUGGUAAAACUCACAUUGCCUUUAUUUGUACAGGAUCAAUCCUUCUGUUAGUUUCUUCAGAGCUGAAACUGACUUGGAAAUGGUGAUAUUCAAUUCUCAUAACAUUUUAACAUGGUUUGACUCAUGCGAUUCUUUUCCCCCUAAAGUGCACAAACAUUUAAAUGUGGUAAAGAUUUUAUUUUUAGCUUUAGAUUUAAAGCAAAUUUGGCAAGUAAGCUCUGUGCUUAAGUUUUGCAGCCUUAUUAGUAUAAUUCUGAAAUGGUGAAAAAGAGCAAUUCCGUAUGACAAGAAGAGGUAGUAUUUAAUAUAAGCCUAAGCAGUUUAAAGAAGCAUUUUGUGAACCCAACUUAUUUUCACUGUUACUUUAUCAUAGAAAAACAGCAUUUUAAACAAGUUUUUAAAAAGUUUUAGUAAUUAAAUCUUUUAAAAAAUAACUUUAAAUACUAUGGCACUGUUGAUUAUAAAAAUAACUAAUAAUUUACUUUGCAUCAGGACAAAACCUACUGUUACAUGAAUUUUGGGGGGAUUUCAUAAAUAAGACUGAUGGUCUCAGAUGGGAUCAUACUCAGGUGCCUUAGCCCCUCCACAGCCUGGCUACAUUGCUAUUUUUAGCAUGCUAGUUUGAUCAGAACUAUCUUGGAUAGGUCUCCUCGAGGUGAAAUUUACAAUUUCUAACUCCAGUGCUGACAUACCCUCAGAUCCUGUGUUGAGUUUGCAGAGCCAGCUAUUAGGGCAUUUUUUUUUUUAACUUCUUCACAAAAUACAUAGUGUAUUCAUUUUCUUUAAAGGAAAGUAUAUUUUAACAGUUUAAGAAAUAAUAAAGGAACAGGAUCUCAGCUGGUGUAAAUUGGC